This 482-nucleotide ribosomal RNA is filed under the name uncultured bacterium. RNAcentral's name for it is "partial 16S ribosomal RNA". It matches the Rfam family "Bacterial small subunit ribosomal RNA", at positions 30 to 507 of the family's 1533-position model. The record is from RNAcentral.
AUUGAACGCUGGCGGCAUGCCUUACACAUGCAAGUCGAACGGUAACAGGUCUUCGGAUGCUGACGAGUGGCGAACGGGUGAGUAAUACAUCGGAACGUGCCCGAUCGUGGGGGAUAACGAGGCGAAAGCUUUGCUAAUACCGCAUACGAUCUACGGAUGAGAGCGGGGGUUCUUCGGACCUCGCGCGGACGGAGCGGCCGAUGGCAGAUUAGGUAGUUGGUGGGAUAAAAGCUUUCCAAGCCGACGAUCUGUAGCUGGUCUGAGAGGAUGAUCAGCCACACUGGGACUGAGACACGGCCCAGACUCCUACGGGAGGCCGCAGUGUGGAAUUUUGGACAAAGGGCGAAAGCCUGAUCCAGCCAUGCCGCGUGCAGGAUGAAGGCCUUCGGGUUGUAAACUGCGUCUGUACGGAACGAAAAGCCUCUUUCUAAUAAAGAGGGGUCAUGACGGUACCGUAAGAAUAAGCACCGGCUAACUACGUG